Molecule: ribosomal RNA, 359 nt
Filed under: uncultured bacterium
Lineage: Bacteria
Description: partial 16S ribosomal RNA
Rfam family: Bacterial small subunit ribosomal RNA
Source: RNAcentral
CCUACGGGUGGCAGCAGUGAGGAAUAUUGGUCAAUGGACGAGAGUCUGAACCAGCCACGCAGCGUGAAGGAUGACUGCCCUCUGGGUUGUAAACUUCUUUUUUAUGGGAAUAAAAUGUUCCACGUGUGGGAUUUUGUAUGUACCAUAUGAUUAAGGAUCGGCUAACUCGGUGCCAGCCGCCGCGGUAAUACGGAGGAUCCGAUGGUUAUCCGGAUUUAUUUGGUUUAAAGGGAGCGUAGGUGGAUUGUUAAGUCAGUUGUGAAUUUUUGGGGCUCAACCGUAAAAUUGCAGUUGAAACUGGCAGUCUUGAGUACAGUAGAGGUGGGCGAAAUUCGUGGUGUAGCGGUGAAAUGCUUAGA